This 664-nucleotide ribosomal RNA is filed under the name Escherichia coli. RNAcentral's name for it is "partial 23S ribosomal RNA". It matches the Rfam family "Bacterial large subunit ribosomal RNA", at positions 612 to 1275 of the family's 2925-position model. Lineage: Bacteria; Pseudomonadati; Pseudomonadota; Gammaproteobacteria; Enterobacterales; Enterobacteriaceae. The record is from RNAcentral.
AUAAUGGGUCAGCGACUUAUAUUCUGUAGCAAGGUUAACCGAAUAGGGGAGCCGAAGGGAAACCGAGUCUUAACUGGGCGUUAAGUUGCAGGGUAUAGACCCGAAACCCGGUGAUCUAGCCAUGGGCAGGUUGAAGGUUGGGUAACACUAACUGGAGGACCGAACCGACUAAUGUUGAAAAAUUAGCGGAUGACUUGUGGCUGGGGGUGAAAGGCCAAUCAAACCGGGAGAUAGCUGGUUCUCCCCGAAAGCUAUUUAGGUAGCGCCUCGUGAAUUCAUCUCCGGGGGUAGAGCACUGUUUCGGCAAGGGGGUCAUCCCGACUUACCAACCCGAUGCAAACUGCGAAUACCGGAGAAUGUUAUCACGGGAGACACACGGCGGGUGCUAACGUCCGUCGUGAAGAGGGAAACAACCCAGACCGCCAGCUAAGGUCCCAAAGUCAUGGUUAAGUGGGAAACGAUGUGGGAAGGCCCAGACAGCCAGGAUGUUGGCUUAGAAGCAGCCAUCAUUUAAAGAAAGCGUAAUAGCUCACUGGUCGAGUCGGCCUGCGCGGAAGAUGUAACGGGGCUAAACCAUGCACCGAAGCUGCGGCAGCGACGCUGAUGCGUUGUUGGGUAGGGGAGCGUUCUGUAAGCCUGCGAAGGUGUGCUGUGAGGCAUGCUG